RNAcentral lists this transfer RNA (91 nucleotides) under Cyrtodactylus jelawangensis (Jelawang bent-toed gecko). RNAcentral's name for it is "tRNA-Cys". Lineage: Eukaryota; Metazoa; Chordata; Lepidosauria; Squamata; Gekkonidae. The record is from RNAcentral.
GCGCCGCAGUGGCACACGCCAAAAUGCAAAUUUGGAAACGCACCCUUACAGGUGCCGGGGCUUCUCCCGUUUCUAACUAGACGGGAGAAGG